GAUGAAGAACGCAGCGAAAUGCGAUAAGUAAUGUGAAUUGCAGAAUUCAGUGAAUCAUCGAAUCUUUGAACGCACAUUGCGCCCGCCAGUAUUCUGGCGGGCAUGCCUGUCCGAGCGUCAUUUCAACCCUCGCGCCCAUCUGGGCUGCGGUGUUGGGGACCGGCCUGCCCCCCGGGGCGCGCCGCCCCCCAAAUUCAGUGGCGGUCUCGCUGCAGCCUCCCUUGCGUAGUAGCACACCUCGCACCGGAGCGCAGCGCGGCCACGCCGUAAAACCCCCGACCCCCAUGAGUUUGACCUCGGAUCAGGUAGGAAUACCCGCUGAACUUAAGCAUAUCAAUAAGCGGAGGA
This 348-nucleotide unclassified non-coding RNA is filed under the name soil metagenome. Its description in RNAcentral is "partial contains 5.8S ribosomal RNA, internal transcribed spacer 2, and large subunit ribosomal RNA". The stretch from base 1 to 120 matches the Rfam family "5.8S ribosomal RNA", at positions 35 to 154 of the family's 154-position model. The record is from RNAcentral.